RNAcentral lists this ribosomal RNA (497 nucleotides) under uncultured bacterium. RNAcentral describes it as "partial 16S ribosomal RNA". It matches the Rfam family "Bacterial small subunit ribosomal RNA", at positions 28 to 507 of the family's 1533-position model. The record is from RNAcentral.
GAUGAACGCUGGCGGCGUGCCUAAUACAUGCAAGUCGAGCGAACGGACGAGAAGCUUGCUUCUCUGAUGUUAGCGGCGGACGGGUGAGUAACACGUGGAUAACCUACCUAUAAGACUGGGAUAACUUCGGGAAACCGGAGCUAAUACCGGAUGAUAUUUUGAACCGCAUGGUUCAAAAGUGAAAGACGGUCUUGCUGUCACUUAUAGAUGGAUCCGCGCUGCAUUAGCUAGUUGGUAAGGUAACGGCUUACCAAGGCAACGAUGCAUAGCCGACCUGAGAGGGUGAUCGGCCACACUGGAACUGAGACACGGUCCAGACUCCUACGGGAGGCAGCAGUAGGGAAUCUUCCGCAAUGGGCGAAAGCCUGACGGAGCAACGCCGCGUGAGUGAUGAAGGUCUUCGGAUCGUAAAACUCUGUUAUUAGGGAAGAACAAAUGUGUAAGUAACUGUGCACAUCUUGACGGUACCUAAUCAGAAAGCCACGGCUAACUACGUG